GACGAACGCUGGCGGCGUGCCUAAUACAUGCAAGUCGAACGAGAGCGCCCGGUGCUUGCACUGGUCAAUCUAGUGGCGAACGGGUGAGUAACACGUGGGUAACCUGCCCAUCAGAGGGGGAUAACAUCCGGAAACGGAUGCUAAAACCGCAUAGGUCUUCGAGCCGCAUGGCUUGAAGAGGAAAAGAGGCGCAAGCUUCUGCUGAUGGAUGGACCCGCGGUGCAUUAGCUAGAUGGUGAGGUAACGGCUCACCAAGGCCGUGAUGCAUAGCCGACCUGAGAGGGUGAUCGGCCACAUUGGGACUGAGACACGGCCCAAACUCCUACGGGAGGCAGCAGUAGGGAAUCUUCCGCAAUGGACGCAAGUCUGACGGAGCAACGCCGCGUGAGUGAAGAAGGUGUUCGGAUCGUAAAACUCUGUUGUUAGAGAAGAACAAGUGCUAGAGUAACUGUUAGCGCCUUGACGGUAACUAACCAGAAAGCCACGGCUAACUACGUG
This 498-nucleotide ribosomal RNA is filed under the name uncultured bacterium. RNAcentral describes it as "partial 16S ribosomal RNA". It matches the Rfam family "Bacterial small subunit ribosomal RNA", at positions 28 to 507 of the family's 1533-position model. The record is from RNAcentral.